AUGGAUCUAUUAAUAAAAUCUGGUGAAUGUCCUACUUUGCGUCAAUGCGCAUGCGCACCAGUCAACAGCGUCGACUUGACUAAAACAACACGGAAUCGUCCUACAGCUGUUUAAGAAGAAAACUGGGAAAACGGUAAUAGAUGCCUAUUUGCACAUCUUCAUUGAAAAGCACAAGGCAAAUUGUCAACAUCCCCAAGAAGGCCCUCAUCCUUAUUGAUCCCUUUGGGAAAGAGGACUAUUAUUCAAGAAAAGUUCUCCACAACUGGAGGAACUACCUUAAAAGGAUGGAGAGAAGGGGCUGAGGCAUGGCAGGUGGAGACUGUGCACCACAAUAAACAGCAGGAUGCCAGUAGCUGCAGAGUUUUGGUUAUGAAGUUUGCAGAAAACUUCCUCACUGAGGAAUCCACAGAGGUCGUCACCACAGCUGAGGCUUUGCAUGAAUACAGGAAGCAGAUCGCCUGUAGCUGCUACAAAAUCCGGGCGAUGCAAAAGAUUACUGCAUAGUGUGCGCCCGGCUGGAGUGCGAUCCACAGCACAGCAUGAUAGGAAUGGUGCAGUGUGGGACAUGUCAUCGGUGGGCCCAUUUGGAAUGCGCCAAAUGGCCAAUAAGAUAACAACAAUCGCCUUGACAGAUGAGGAGGUGGCGUCUGUCAAGGCCACAUUUAAAUGUGUUAUCUGCAGAGAUCCAAUGAAGGAGCCUGUAGUGGGCGCAUGCUGCCGCAGCCUCAUUGGUUGCAGAACAUGUGUGGAUGAGUGGGUGAUUCAUGAGCCCAGUUGCCCCAAAUGCAGGGAUGGGGAAUUUCGGGUGAAAAGCUUCAUCCUGACCGGCGUUGAAGACACUCUGAAUAUUUUCAAAGACACUAUUAGGGGAUAAAUAGUUUUUUUAUUACAUUUUUUUGGUUCAUAAUAGUUCAUGUUUUAUUUGGUUGUCGUAGUGUCCUUGGGCAAGAUACCUUACCCACCUGUCCCGUGUGAAUGUGUAUGAAUGUGUAUGAAUGUUGGUGGUGGUCGGAGGGGCCGUUUGGCGCGGAA
Long non-coding RNA from Cololabis saira (Pacific saury), 1032 nucleotides. RefSeq lists it as uncharacterized. The record is from RefSeq and is a predicted model, not a curated record. NCBI's taxonomy places the organism in Eukaryota, Metazoa, Chordata, Actinopteri, Beloniformes, Belonidae. The transcript is spliced from 8 exons.